Molecule: ribosomal RNA, 484 nt
Filed under: uncultured bacterium
Lineage: Bacteria
Description: partial 16S ribosomal RNA
Rfam family: Bacterial small subunit ribosomal RNA
Source: RNAcentral
AUUGAACGCUGGCGGCAGGCCUAACACAUGCAAGUCGAGCGGAUGAAGGGAGCUUGCUCCUGGAUUCAGCGGCGGACGGGUGAGUAAUGCCUAGGAAUCUGCCUGGUAGUGGGGGAUAACGUCCGGAAACGGGCGCUAAUACCGCAUACGUCCUGAGGGAGAAAGUGGGGGAUCUUCGGACCUCACGCUAUCAGAUGAGCCUAGGUCGGAUUAGCUAGUUGGUGGGGUAAAGGCCUACCAAGGCGACGAUCCGUAACUGGUCUGAGAGGAUGAUCAGUCACACUGGAACUGAGACACGGUCCAGACUCCUACGGGAGGCAGCAGUGGGGAAUAUUGGACAAUGGGCGAAAGCCUGAUCCAGCCAUGCCGCGUGUGUGAAGAAGGUCUUCGGAUUGUAAAGAACUUUAAGUUGGGAGGAAGGGUAGUAAGUUAAUACCUUGCUGUUUUGACGUUACCAACAGAAUAAGCACCGGCUAACUUCGUG